CCCACCAAAAAGUAUUAAUUGAAAUAAAACACACACACACACACACACACACACACACACACACACCGCAACACCAUGAGGUGGGUGAAACUUUUAUUUCAGCAUGGAAAAGAAAACAUUUUUCUUCAGGAGGUUCAUGUCAUUGCGGAGGUGCGAAAUCUUUGGCCCACCAAAUGUUGCUGACCUACAACUCCCAUCAGACCCAGCAAACAUGGCUGAUGGCCCGGCCUGCUUCUUGGGGUUUCAAGGGAACCUCUCACAAAUUUAAUAAUGAAAAAUUCAAUUUCGUUAAAGGAGUACAAAUGGACGAGCCACACAAUAAGUUCAUUUGUGGGUGAUGCUUGCACUUAGGCUGACUCCAGCGUCCUCCGGCCUUGGGUGCCCAAAUGUUGUUGGACUACAACUCCCAUCACCCCCUGCUAUCUUAGCCAAUGAUGAGGGAUGAUGGGAGUUGUAGUCCAACAACAAGGUUGAAGAAGAUUCUACAGAUUUGAGCAGCUCGCAGCUGGAAACUCUUAAUUUAGUUGCUACAUGUGAUUUUGGGGGCAGGAGGGGAUUACAUUAAAAAAAUAUGAAAAGUUUUAUGCAUUAACAUGCCCAACUGAACAUAUAAUAAUAAUAAUCUGAAUUUAAAACAUGCCAAAAAAACAUACCAAAAGCUUUGUAAUGGUUAUCCCCCGCAAACUGGAAAUUGCUGAAAAAUGGGAGUUGAGUUCAGCAACUUCUGGAGAGUGUGAGGUUUGAGAAAUCUGCCUUAAGUCUGUUCUACUCUAGAUCAUGAUUUCAAAUUCCCAGUGACUAUGAGAUUUAGGAACAUGAUUUUUGUGCCACGUGGCAAAGGGGGAUAUUGCUGCAGGGCGAAACCAGCGGGUUCAAUCUGCUCUGUUGCACAUACCUUGGUGAGACUUGAGAACAGAUGAGAGAGGAUAGCACAGGGCCCUCCAGCAUAGCUGUCAACUUACAGAUUUGAAAAUAAGGGACCAGUGGUCUCGAAAAUAAGGGAUCAGCAGCCAAAAUAAGGGAUUUUAGUCAACCAGCAGCCAAACGAAGCCUCAAGUGGUGGUUCCCACAGCGCAGCAACCCGGCAAAGGGGAUGCAGCAAGGAAAACCACCGUCACCUCUCUGCUGGGAAGCGCUGAGCAAAGGCGAGUCCCCAGGCAACGCGGCCGAUUUGAGUGGCACAAGGCAUGCAAGCUCCACCCCCCAGUCGUUCUUAGACUCCUUAUUGGGUGAGCAAUGCAGUCAAGCAACACAGCUGGAGCCUCCCUCCUCCCUGGCCGGCAGGGAGGGAGGGAGAGGAGCUGCUUCCUUUGAAACCUGGGGAAUUUAAGGGACAUCAUCAAUAAGGGACAGCAGCGGGACAUGGCGCUGGGAUAAAGGACUGUCCCGCCAAAUAAGGGACGCUUGACAGCUAUGCCCUCCAGGUGUUGCUGAACUACAACUCCCAGAAAGCAAUGGUGGGAGUUGUGGUUCAGCAACAUGGGGAGGGCACCAAAG
Podarcis lilfordi (Lilford's wall lizard) is the source of this 1497-nucleotide non-coding RNA. The record is from the annotation of a GenBank genome assembly. Lineage: Eukaryota; Metazoa; Chordata; Lepidosauria; Squamata; Lacertidae.